UACGUAGGGUGCAAGCGUUAAUCGGAAUUACUGGGCGUAAAGCGUGCGCAGGCGGUUUUGUAAGACUGUCGUGAAAUCCCCGGGCUUAACCUGGGAAUGGCGAUGGUGACUGCAAGGCUAGAGUUUGGCAGAGGGGGGUAGAAUUCCACGUGUAGCAGUGAAAUGCGUAGAUAUGUGGAGGAACACCGAUGGCGAAGGCAGCCCCCUGGGUCAAAACUGACGCUCAUGCACGAAAGCGUGGGGAGCAAAUAGG
This 253-nucleotide ribosomal RNA is filed under the name uncultured bacterium. Its description in RNAcentral is "partial 16S ribosomal RNA". It matches the Rfam family "Bacterial small subunit ribosomal RNA", at positions 524 to 776 of the family's 1533-position model. The record is from RNAcentral.